CCAACGGGAGGCUGCAGUGGGGAAUAUUGGACAAUGGGCGAAAGCCUGAUCCAGCCAUGCCGCGUGUGUGAAGAAGGCCUUCGGGUUGUAAAGCACUUUCAGUGGGGAAGAAAGCCUUGGGGCUAAUACCCUCGAGGAAGGACAUCACCCACAGAAGAAGCACCGGCUAACUCCGUGCCAGCAGCCGCGGUAAUACGGAGGGUGCGAGCGUUAAUCGGAAUUACUGGGCGUAAAGCGCGCGUAGGCGGUCUGAUAAGCCGGUUGUGAAAGCCCCGGGCUCAACCUGGGAACGGCAUCCGGAACUGUCAGGCUAGAGUGCAGGAGAGGAAGGUAGAAUUCCCGGUGUAGCGGUGAAAUGCGUAGAGAUCGGGAGGAAUACCAGUGGCGAAGGCGGCCUUCUGGACUGACACUGACGCUGAGGUGCGAAAGCGUGGGUAGCAAACAGGAUUAGAUACCCCAGUAGUC
This 465-nucleotide ribosomal RNA is filed under the name Vreelandella stevensii. RNAcentral's name for it is "partial 16S ribosomal RNA". It matches the Rfam family "Bacterial small subunit ribosomal RNA", at positions 338 to 795 of the family's 1533-position model. Lineage: Bacteria; Pseudomonadati; Pseudomonadota; Gammaproteobacteria; Oceanospirillales; Halomonadaceae. The record is from RNAcentral.